This 460-nucleotide ribosomal RNA is filed under the name uncultured Arthrobacter sp. RNAcentral's name for it is "bacterial SSU rRNA". It matches the Rfam family "Bacterial small subunit ribosomal RNA", at positions 40 to 518 of the family's 1533-position model. Lineage: Bacteria; Bacillati; Actinomycetota; Actinomycetes; Micrococcales; Micrococcaceae. The record is from RNAcentral.
CGGGGGGCUUUAAAUGGCAGUCGAACGAUGAUGGGAGCUUGCUCCUGGAUUAGUGGCGAACGGGUGAGUAACACGAGAGUAACCUGCCCUUAACUCUGGAUAAGCCUGGGAAACUGGGUCUAAUACCGGAUAUGACCUUCCAUCGCAUGGUGGUUGGUGGAAAGCUUUUGUGGUUUUGGAUGGACUCGCGGCCUAUCAGCUUGUUGGUGAGGUAAUGGCUUACCAAGGCGACGACGGGUAGCCGGCCUGAGAGGGUGACCGGCCACACUGGGACUGAGACACGGCCCAGACUCCUACGGGAGGCAGCAGUGGGGAAUAUUGCACAAUGGGCGCAAGCCUGAUGCAGCGACGCCGCGUGAGGGAUGACGGCCUUCGGGUUGUAAACCUCUUUCAGUAGGGAAGAAGCGAAAGUGACGGUACCUGCAGAAGAAGCGCCGGCUAACUACGUGCCAGCAGCCGC